This 253-nucleotide ribosomal RNA is filed under the name uncultured bacterium. RNAcentral's name for it is "partial 16S ribosomal RNA". It matches the Rfam family "Bacterial small subunit ribosomal RNA", at positions 524 to 776 of the family's 1533-position model. The record is from RNAcentral.
UACGUAGGGGGCUAGCGUUGUUCGGAAUUACUGGGCGUAAAGGGCGUGUAGGCGGCCCUUUAAGACAGUUGUGAAAUUCCUGGGCUCAACCCAGGACGUGCGCCUGUGACUGGCGGGCUUGAGUCCGGGAGAGGAUGGUGGAACUCCCAGUGUAGAGGUGAAAUUCGUAGAUAUUGGGAAGAACACCCGUGGCGAAGGCGGCCAUCUGGACCGGUACUGACGCUAAGGCGCGACAGCGUGGGGAGCAAACAGG